AUUGAACGCUGGCGGCAUGCCUUACACAUGCAAGUCGAACGGUAACAGGUCUUCGGAUGCUGACGAGUGGCGAACGGGUGAGUAAUACAUCGGAACGUGCCUAGUAGUGGGGGAUAACUACUCGAAAGAGUGGCUAAUACCGCAUGAGAUCUACGGAUGAAAGCAAGGGAUCGCAAGACCUUGUGCUACUAGAGCGGCCGAUGGCAGAUUAGGUAGUUGGUGGGGUAAAAGCUUACCAAGCCGACGAUCUGUAGCUGGUCUGAGAGGACGAUCAGCAACACUGGGACUGAGACACGGCCCAGAAUCGUACGGGAGGCAGCAGUGGGGAAUGUUGGACAAUGGGAGCAAGCAUGAUCCAGCAAUGCCGCGUGCAGGAUGAAGGCCUGCGGGUUGUAAACUGCUUUUGUACGGAACGAAAAGCCCCGGGUUAAUACCCUGGGGUCAUGACGGUACCGUAAGAAUAAGCACCGGCUAACUACGUGCCAGCCGCCGCCGUAA
RNAcentral lists this ribosomal RNA (498 nucleotides) under uncultured bacterium. Its description in RNAcentral is "partial 16S ribosomal RNA". It matches the Rfam family "Bacterial small subunit ribosomal RNA", at positions 30 to 523 of the family's 1533-position model. The record is from RNAcentral.